Molecule: long non-coding RNA, 494 nt
Organism: Medicago truncatula (barrel medic)
Lineage: Eukaryota; Viridiplantae; Streptophyta; Magnoliopsida; Fabales; Fabaceae
Exons: 2
Source: RefSeq, a predicted model, not a curated record
UGAACUUUUACACUAUAAAGUGCAUAAAUUAUGUUCUAUUUGUUAUAUGCAAAGAGAUACAUAAAUGGCUAAAAUUUUCAACUUUGUUUAUGUUAUGAUUUUAUUUCUUUCCCUGCAUAUUUUUUUAAAAGAGGUCGAUGCACAACGUACAUGUAAAACAGAUGCUGAUUGUCCAAAAAUUCCAAGCUUGUAUCCAACAAUUUAUAAGUGCCUUGACGGAAUAUGUAGAUUUUCUGAAGCGAAGCUUCUUAUUUUAUAAGUAUCAGACCCAAUAGGGUACACAUACUUCAUGCAUGGAAGAAUUAGUUCUUGCCCUACCAAAAAAACCUAGGCUAUAAUGCUCCAUGUGUUGUCAUACAAUAAUUGUAUCUUUUAUUUUUUUUAGUUUUGAAAUUUCAUAGAAGGUAAAAUGAUGUAUUUUUACUCUAAUACCUUAGUAAUAAAAUGAAAUAGGUAAAUUCCUCACCGAUCGAGAGGAGCAUUCUGUUGAUGAA